RNAcentral lists this non-coding RNA (23 nucleotides) under Rattus norvegicus (Norway rat). Lineage: Eukaryota; Metazoa; Chordata; Mammalia; Rodentia; Muridae. The record is from RNAcentral.
GAUUCAAUUUUAAGAAGGUGUCU